This 756-nucleotide ribosomal RNA is filed under the name uncultured bacterium. RNAcentral's name for it is "bacterial SSU rRNA". It matches the Rfam family "Bacterial small subunit ribosomal RNA", at positions 8 to 796 of the family's 1533-position model. The record is from RNAcentral.
AGAGUUUGAUCCUGGCUCAGAAUCAACGCUGGCGGCGCGCCUAACACAUGCAAGUCGAACGAGAAAGUGGAGCAAUCCAUGAGUACAGUGGCGUACGGGUGAGUAACACGUGGGUGAUCUACCUCUUAGUGAGGAAUAACCCUGGGAAACCGGGGCUAAUACCGCAUAAGCCUUAGCAGGGAAAGUCGAAAGACGCUGAGAGAGGAGCCCGCGGCCGAUUAGCUAGUUGGUGAGGUAAAAGCCCACCAAGGCAGAGAUCGGUAGCCGGCCUGAGAGGGCACACGGCCACACUGGCACUGAAACACGGGCCAGACUCCUACGGGAGGCAGCAGUGGGGAAUCUUGCACAAUGGGGGAAACCCUGAUGCAGCGACGCCGCGUGAGCGAUGAAGCCCUUCGGGGUGUAAAGCUCUUUCGUCAGGGAAGAUAGUGACGGUACCUGGAGAAGCAGCUGCGGCUAACUACGUGCCAGCAGCCGCGGUAAUACGUAGGCAGCAAGCGUUGUUCGGAGUUACUGGGCGUAAAGGGUGUGUAGGCGGUUCUUUAAGUUUGGUGUGAAAUCUCCCGGCUCAACCGGGAGGGUGCGCCGAAUACUGAGGGACUAGAGUGUGGGAGAGGAAAGUGGAAUUCCUGGUGUAGCGGUGAAAUGCGUAGAUAUCAGGAGGAACACCGGUGGUGUAGACGGCUUUCUGGACCAUAACUGACGCUGAGACACGAAAGCGUGGGUAGCAAACAGGAUUAGAUACCCUAGUAGUCC